Molecule: ribosomal RNA, 260 nt
Filed under: uncultured bacterium
Lineage: Bacteria
Description: partial 16S ribosomal RNA
Rfam family: Bacterial small subunit ribosomal RNA
Source: RNAcentral
GUCCACGCCGUAAACGUUGGGCGCUAGGUGUGGGUCCCUUCCACGGGGUCUGUGCCGCAGCUAACGCAUUAAGCGCCCCGCCUGGGGAGUACGGCCGCAAGGCUAAAACUCAAAGAAAUUGACGGGGCCCGCACAAGCGGCGGAGCAUGUUGCUUAAUUCGACGCAACGCGAAGAACCUUACCAAGGUUUGACAUGGCCGGAAAACUCAUGGAGACAUGGGGUCCUUCGGGGCCGGUCACAGGUGGUGCAUGGCUGUCGU